Non-coding RNA from Trichomonas vaginalis G3, 478 nucleotides. Lineage: Eukaryota; Parabasalia; Trichomonadida; Trichomonadidae. The record is from Rfam.
CAUCAAAAACCAAGUCUCUAAGCAAUGGAUGUCUUGGCUCCUCACACGAUGAAGAACGUGGCAUAAUGUGUUAAGUAACCGGAGUUGCAAACAUCAUGACAGGUUAAUCUUUGAAUGCAAAUUGCGCUAAACUCGAUCUCGGUCGAGAAGCAUGGGUGUGACAGUACUACAUCUUUUAUAAUAAUUCUUAUUCUAAGCGAAUAAGUAAAUAAUAUAUAAGACAAACAACACGUAGUCUGCCAUACGCAGGAAGACCCGCUGAACUGAAGCAUCUCAUUAAGCGGAGGAAAAGAAACUAACUAGGAUUCCCUUAGUAAAGGCGAUCGAAAAGGGAACAGCCCAACGUCUUUAUCCCGCAAGGGAAAUGUAGUCGGUUCACCUAUUGCACUGGUCUAAGUCAGAUGGAAUGCUGCGCGAUUCAGAGUAAAAGCCUCGUAUGACCAACCGCAGGCUUACGAUGGAACCGGGGGAGAGUCGG